This 156-nucleotide microRNA precursor is filed under the name Pelobates cultripes (western spadefoot toad). The record is from RNAcentral. Lineage: Eukaryota; Metazoa; Chordata; Amphibia; Anura; Pelobatidae.
GCAGACACAUUCCAGCCAAUCAGCAGCAGACCCUCCCUCCCAGUCCCUCCCACCUUCUGGACAGCGUCCAUUUUGAAGCUGCAUUCUUAGUGAGCUGUCCAGGAGGUGGGAGGGUCUGGGAGGGAGGGUCUGCUGCUGAUUGGCUGGAAUGUAGUG